CCUAGAAACAAUCUAUGGUGUAACCUGCCCAGUGAUUUUUAAAUAAAAAGAUUUAACAGUCUUAAAAAAAAUUAAAAGGACGCGGUAAUCUGACCGUGAUAAUGUAGCACAAUCACUUGCCAUUUAAUUGAUGGAUAGUAUGAAUGGUUAAACGAAUUCUACACUGUCUUGAAAAGAGAAAUCAUGAAAUUAAAAUAAUAGUAAAGAUGCUAUUUAAAAUUGUAAGACGAAAAGACCCUAUAGAGCUUAACUAUUUUCUUUUUAUUAUUAUCAAUCUAAUUAAAAAGAAUGGUAGUUUAGUUGGGGCGACUAUCUUCUAAAAAUAACGAAGAUAAGCAAAGUUAAUAAAAAAUUUAUUGUAUAAUUAAUAAAUUUAACAAUUACUAAAGUAGGCUAUAAUGACCCGUUAUUACUAAAUAAUAAGAAUAACGAUUAAUAAAUAAAAGCUACCUUAGGGAUAACAGGAUAAUUUCGUUCUAGAGCUCUCAUCGAAAACAAAGUUUGUCACCUCUAUGUUGAAUUAAGAUAUCCCGAUAAUGCAGAAGUUAUCAAAGGUAGGUCUGUUCGACCUUAAAAAU
Molecule: ribosomal RNA, 578 nt
Filed under: Inferiolabiata lowei
Lineage: Eukaryota; Metazoa; Cnidaria; Hydrozoa; Anthoathecata; Stylasteridae
Description: partial 16S large subunit ribosomal RNA
Rfam family: Bacterial large subunit ribosomal RNA
Source: RNAcentral